This 253-nucleotide ribosomal RNA is filed under the name uncultured bacterium. Its description in RNAcentral is "partial 16S ribosomal RNA". It matches the Rfam family "Bacterial small subunit ribosomal RNA", at positions 524 to 776 of the family's 1533-position model. The record is from RNAcentral.
UACGUAGGCAGCAAGCGUUGUUCGGAGUUACUGGGCGUAAAGGGUAUGUAGGCGGUUCUUUAAGUUUGCUGUGAAAUCCCCCGGCUUAACCGGGAGGGUGCGGUGAAUACUGAGGGACUAGAGUACGGGAGAGGAAAGUGGAAUUCCUGGUGUAGCGGUGAAAUGCGUAGAUAUCAGGAGGAACACCAAUUGCGAAGGCAGCUCGCUGGGACGUUACUGACGCUGAGACGCGAAAGCGUGGGGAGCAAACAGG